AUUGGGCAUAUUUGAUCAAAUCAAUUGAAGACAGGAAACUCCCUGUCCCACAUGCAAAAGACUGCUUGUUCGAGCUGUCUUUGCAAACAAAGUUUCAUGAGUGGCUGUUAGAAAGAGUUAUUGGAGGGUGUAAAACCUCAGAGUGGGACGAGCAAGGUCAAGGAGUUAUCCAUUUGUGUGCUAUCCUAGGUUAUACUUGGGCUGUAUAUCCAUUUUCCUGGUCAGGCUUAUCAUUGGAUUACCGGGACAAGUAUGGUUGGACAGCUCUUCACUGUGGCUGUUAGAAAGAGUUAUUGGAGGGUGCAAAGCCUCAGAGUGGGACGAGCAAGGUCAAGGAGUUAUCCAUUUGUGUGCUAUCCUAGGUUAUACUUGGGCUGUAUAUCCAUUUU
RNAcentral lists this long non-coding RNA (389 nucleotides) under Nicotiana benthamiana. RNAcentral's name for it is "long non-coding RNA (NBEN_LNC014187)". Lineage: Eukaryota; Viridiplantae; Streptophyta; Magnoliopsida; Solanales; Solanaceae. The record is from RNAcentral.